GGUGCUCAUCCAAGUGGCACCAGAAAAAUACCCAGCCUUACAGUACUCAGCAAGGCUACUUUCUCCACAUCCUCCCUUUCUCUUCAUAGUCUGGGAAUAAGCACUGCUGUCACUAAUAAAAUAAAUUUUGGAGCUCCGUUGAGGAUAAGCUAAAUAUCAGCAUUUGCAUGACUGGAUCAUCACAAGAGCAGCAGAACUAAUGGUAAAAAUCAUUAGCGUCCAUUCAAAAAGCAUGAGCCUUUGGGAGGAGAAGGAAGCAGGAAGCUCCUGUAAGUGCCCAGCGGAUCACAGUCCUGCACACAUCCUUCCCUGAUAUGGCAUGCAGAAAGAGGGAUAUAGAGUGCAGGCAUGAAUCUCUUUUUUCACGUGAAAUGCUAAACUUUCUGAUUAU
Molecule: long non-coding RNA, 391 nt
Filed under: Phasianus colchicus (ring-necked pheasant)
Lineage: Eukaryota; Metazoa; Chordata; Aves; Galliformes; Phasianidae
Description: lncRNA (ENSPCLG00000003431.1)
Source: RNAcentral